CUUGAAAUCACCCACCUGCCAAACUCUGCUGUGGCAACUACAAGUGAACAUGCAAAGAGUUGUCUGUGACACUAAAGGACAGCAUUAUAGGACAUAAAGGAGCCCUGAUAGAUGUUUACAGCUACUGAAGAAUGCAGGUUGUAAAAGUGAACACUGGGGGGAAGACUAGGUAUGCUGUUGUUACAGGUGAAUUUUUAUUGAGUCCCAAUUUAGGUUCAGGAGAUACCUGUCGGUUCCCUUGAGCCCAGAGUCCCAGUCUAGUUUCCUGUUACUCUACCUCUGAGGUCACAAAGGCAUAGUGACAAAAGCUUGAGAGGCAGAAUAGCUCCCUUAGCUUAUGGAUUGGAGUCUGUUCCUGAGGAAGAAGGUGUAGAUCUUGGAGCAGGAAUAUGAUUCUGGGAGUGAGUGUUGCUGGAUUUAUAACAUUAGUAUUUAGAGCUAAUUAUGUCUGCUCCUCCCUUGCCCCUUUAUCACGGAACCCUUUUGUUCUGCCCUUAGAAACCGGUCUAUAAGAAGAAGGAUAUUUGGGCGAGUAUGGUGGCACACACCUCUAAUCACAGAUCUCUGGAGGCAUGAGCAAUGAGGCAAGAAGAUCAUGAGUUGGAAGCCAGCCAGAGCUCCAUGACAGGCAAUACCUGUCUCAAUAUUCUGAAGAAUGGCAUCUGUCUACAGAGAAAGAAAGAGAUGUAUGCAAGCCUGAGGAUUCUGUGGGAAUCACUUUGAUUCGUGGUGGGAUUGGAUGUAUCACAGAGACCCUACUACACUCAAGAGCUUCUGAAGAGGACGAGCCAUAGCCACACACCCUGUCUACUCUGUAAGUAUAUCUACUGUGGAGCAGUGAUGAUAACACCUAAGGGCCUUCUCCCCUUUCAGACAUACAGAUUUCCUCAGCACUUUUAAUUUAACC
Molecule: long non-coding RNA, 907 nt
Filed under: Mus spicilegus (steppe mouse)
Lineage: Eukaryota; Metazoa; Chordata; Mammalia; Rodentia; Muridae
Description: lncRNA (ENSMSIG00000030888.1)
Source: RNAcentral